RNAcentral lists this ribosomal RNA (787 nucleotides) under uncultured bacterium. Its description in RNAcentral is "bacterial SSU rRNA". It matches the Rfam family "Bacterial small subunit ribosomal RNA", at positions 8 to 796 of the family's 1533-position model. The record is from RNAcentral.
AGAGUUUGAUCAUGGCUCAGGACGAACGCUGGCGGCGUGCUUAACACAUGCAAGUCGAACGGAAAGGCCCUUUCGGGGGUACUCGAGUGGCGAACGGGUGAGUAACACGUGGGUGAUCUGCCCUGCACUUCGGGAUAAGCUUGGGAAACUGGGUCUAAUACCGGAUAGGACUGCGAAUCGCAUGGUUUGUGGUGGAAAGAUUUAUCGGUGUGGGAUGGGCCCGCGGCCUAUCAGCUUGUUGGUGGGGUGAUGGCCUACCAAGGCGACGACGGGUAGCCGGCCUGAGAGGGUGUCCGGCCACACUGGGACUGAGAUACGGCCCAGACUCCUACGGGAGGCAGCAGUGGGGAAUAUUGCACAAUGGGCGCAAGCCUGAUGCAGCGACGCCGCGUGGGGGAUGACGGCCUUCGGGUUGUAAACCUCUUUCACCAUCGGCGAAGCCUCAUGUUUUUGCGUGGGGUGACGGUAGGUGGAGAAGAAGCACCGGCCAACUACGUGCCAGCAGCCGCGGUAAUACGUAGGGUGCGAGCGUUGUCCGGAAUUACUGGGCGUAAAGAGCUCGUAGGUGGUUUGUCGCGUUGUCCGUGAAAUUCCCUGGCUUAACUGGGGGCGUGCGGGCGAUACGGGCAGACUGGAGUACUGCAGGGGAGACUGGAAUUCCUGGUGUAGCGGUGGAAUGCGCAGAUAUCAGGAGGAACACCGGUGGCGAAGGCGGGUCUCUGGGCAGUAACUGACGCUGAGGAGCGAAAGCGUGGGGAGCGAACAGGAUUAGAUACCCCGGUAGUCC